This 598-nucleotide ribosomal RNA is filed under the name Flavobacterium anhuiense. Its description in RNAcentral is "bacterial SSU rRNA". It matches the Rfam family "Bacterial small subunit ribosomal RNA", at positions 88 to 680 of the family's 1533-position model. Lineage: Bacteria; Pseudomonadati; Bacteroidota; Flavobacteriia; Flavobacteriales; Flavobacteriaceae. The record is from RNAcentral.
CUUGAGACCGGCGCACGGGUGCGUCACGCGUAUGCAAUCUGCCUUCCACAGAGGGAUAGCCCAGAGAAAUUUGGAUUAAUACCUCAUAGCAUCAUGACCCGGCAUCGGGAUAUGAUUAAAGUCACAACGGUGGAAGAUGAGCAUGCGUCCCAUUAGCUAGUUGGUAAGGUAACGGCUUACCAAGGCUACGAUGGGUAGGGGUCCUGAGAGGGAGAUCCCCCACACUGGUACUGAGACACGGACCAGACUCCUACGGGAGGCAGCAGUGAGGAAUAUUGGUCAAUGGGCGCAAGCCUGAACCAGCCAUGCCGCGUGCAGGAUGACGGUCCUAUGGAUUGUAAACUGCUUUUGUACGGGAAGAAACCCUCCUACGUGUAGGAGCUUGACGGUACCGUAAGAAUAAAGAUCGGCUAACUCCGUGCCAGCAGCCGCGGUAAUACGGAGGAUCCAAGCGUUAUCCCGGAAUCAUUGGGUUUAAAGGGUCUGUAGGCGGUCUUGUAAGUCAGUGGUGAAAAGCCCAUCGCUCAACGGUGGAACGGGCCAUUGAUACUGCUGGACUUGAAUUAUUGGGAAAGCAACUAGAAUAUGUAGUGUACCG